UACGUAGGUGGCAAGCGUUAUCCGGAUUUACUGGGUGUAAAGGGAGCGUAGACGGCUGUGCAAGCCAGAUGUGAAAGCCCGGGGCUCAACCCCGGGACUGCAUUUGGAACUGCGUGGCUUGAGUGUCGGAGAGGCAGGCGGGAUUCCUAGUGUAGCGGUGAAAUGCGUAGAUAUUAGGAGGAACACCAGUGGCGAAGGCGGCCUGCUGGACGAUGACUGACGUUGAGGCUCGAAAGCGUGGGGAGCAAACAGG
RNAcentral lists this ribosomal RNA (253 nucleotides) under uncultured bacterium. RNAcentral's name for it is "partial 16S ribosomal RNA". It matches the Rfam family "Bacterial small subunit ribosomal RNA", at positions 524 to 776 of the family's 1533-position model. The record is from RNAcentral.